RNAcentral lists this ribosomal RNA (253 nucleotides) under uncultured bacterium. Its description in RNAcentral is "partial 16S ribosomal RNA". It matches the Rfam family "Bacterial small subunit ribosomal RNA", at positions 524 to 776 of the family's 1533-position model. The record is from RNAcentral.
UACAGAGGGUGCGAGCGUUGUUCGGAAUUAUUGGGCGUAAAGGGCUCGUAGGCGGUUUGUCGCGUCGGGAGUGAAAUCCACUGGCUUAACUGGUGGCUUGCUUUCGAUACGGGCAGACUGGAGGUAUGCAGGGGAGAACGGAAUUCCUGGUGUAGCGGUGAAAUGCGCAGAUAUCAGGAGGAACACCGGUGGCGAAGGCGGUUCUCUGGGACGGUACUGACGCUGAGACGCGAAAGCGUGGGGAGCGAACAGG